GGGUCAGUAGGUUGGUCGUGCCACCGGUACGUACUGGUCUCACUGAUUCCUCCUUCCUGAAGAACCGUAAUGCCAUUAAUUUGGUGUUGUGGGGAAACAGGACUGUUACUUUGAAAAAAUUAGAGUGUUUAAAGCAAGCUAACGCUUGAAUACAUUAGCAUGGAAUAAUGAAAUAGGACGAUCGAUCCUAUUUUGUUGGCUUCUAGGAUUGACGUA
This 216-nucleotide ribosomal RNA is filed under the name Glomeromycotina sp. RNAcentral describes it as "partial small subunit ribosomal RNA". The stretch from base 40 to 216 matches the Rfam family "Eukaryotic small subunit ribosomal RNA", at positions 686 to 864 of the family's 1831-position model. Lineage: Eukaryota; Fungi; Glomeromycota. The record is from RNAcentral.